GGUAUUAUAGUUUAUUUAGAAUUUUAUUUUGAUGAGAUAGGUUUAUAAUACUU
Molecule: transfer RNA, 53 nt
Filed under: Heliconema longissimum
Lineage: Eukaryota; Metazoa; Nematoda; Chromadorea; Rhabditida; Physalopteridae
Description: tRNA-Ile
Source: RNAcentral